GAUGAACGCUGGCGGCGUGCCUAAUACAUGCAAGUCGAGCGGACAGACGAUGAGCUUGCUCCUCUGACGUUAGCGGCGGGCGGGUGAGUAACACGUGGAUAACCUCCUUAUCUUUCUGGGAUAAUUACGGGAAACCGGAGAUAAUACGGGAUAAUAUAUUGCACCGCAGGGUUCAAUAGUGAAUGACGGUUUUGCUGUCACUUAUAGCUGGAUCCGCGCCGGAUUAGCUAGUUGGUAAGGUAACGGCUUACCAAGGCUACGAUGCGUAUCCGACCUGAGAGGGUGAUCGGCCGCACGAGAACUGAGACACGGUCCAGACUCCUAAGGGAGGCAGCAGUAGGGAAUCUGCCGCAAAGGGCGAAAGCCUGACGCAGCAACGCCGCGUGAGUGAUGAAGGCCUUCGGAUCGUAAAACUCUGUUAUGAGGGAAGAACAGAUGUCGCAGUAAACAUGGACGUCUUGACGGUACCUAAUCAAAAAGCAACGGCUAACUACGUG
This 497-nucleotide ribosomal RNA is filed under the name uncultured bacterium. RNAcentral describes it as "partial 16S ribosomal RNA". It matches the Rfam family "Bacterial small subunit ribosomal RNA", at positions 28 to 507 of the family's 1533-position model. The record is from RNAcentral.